Molecule: ribosomal RNA, 433 nt
Filed under: uncultured bacterium
Lineage: Bacteria
Description: partial 16S ribosomal RNA
Rfam family: Bacterial small subunit ribosomal RNA
Source: RNAcentral
AACGAACGCUGGCGGCAUUCCUAACACAUGCAAGUCGAACGAGACCUUCGGGUCUAGUGGCGCACGGGUGCUAAACGCGUGGGAACUUGCCCCUAGGUUCGGAAUAACUUCUCGAAAGGCGUGCUAAUACCGGAUAUUGUCUUCGGACUAAAGAUUUAUCGCCUUUGGAUGGGUCCGCGUUGGCUUGGCUACUUGGUAGGGUCAUCGCCUACCAAGGCGACGAUCCAUCUCUGGUCUGUGAGCAUGCUCACCCACACUGGGACUGAGACACGGCCCACACUCCCCCGCAGGGCAGAGGUCGGGACUAUUGCACAACGGGAGAAACCCUGAGCCAGCAAUGCCGCGUGAGUGAUGAAGGCCUUAGGGUUGUAAAGCUCUAUCACCCGGGAUGAUAAUGACAGUACCGGGCGAACAAGCCCCGGCUAACUCCGUG